Molecule: ribosomal RNA, 484 nt
Filed under: uncultured bacterium
Lineage: Bacteria
Description: partial 16S ribosomal RNA
Rfam family: Bacterial small subunit ribosomal RNA
Source: RNAcentral
GGACGAACGCUGGCGGCGUGCUUAACCCAUGCAAGUCGAACGCUGAAGCUCAGCUUUUGUUGGGUGGAUGAGUGGCGAACGGGUGAGUAACACGUGAGUAACCUGCCUCCUUCUUUGGGAUAACGCCCGGAAACGGGUGCUAAUACUGGAUAUUCACUGGUCUUCGCAUGGGGGUUGGUGGAAAGGGUUUUUCUGGUGGGGGAUGGGCUCGCGGCCUAUCAGCUUGUUGGUGGGGUGAUGGCCUACCAAGGCUUUGACGGGUAGCCGGCCUGAGAGGGUGACCGGGCACAUUGGGACUGAGAUACGGCCCAGACUCCUACGGGAGGCAGCAGUGGGGAAUAUUGCACAAUGGGCGCAAGACUGAUGCAGCGACGCCGCGUGAGGGAUGGAGGCCUUCGGGUUGUGAACCUGUUUCGCUCAUGGUCAAGCCGCAACAAUGGUUGUGGUGAGGGUAGUGGGUAAAGAAGCGCCGGCUAACUACGUG